This is a non-coding RNA of Manis javanica (Malayan pangolin), 3641 nucleotides long. The record is from RefSeq and is a predicted model, not a curated record. NCBI's taxonomy places the organism in Eukaryota, Metazoa, Chordata, Mammalia, Pholidota, Manidae.
AGUGCCAUACAAUAGCCUUUUAGUUUUAGAUGUAUAUCAUAGUGAUUUGAUCUUUAUAUAUUACAAAAUGCUCUCCAUGAUUAAGUCUAGUUGCCAUCUACCUCCAUACAUAGUUAUUACAGUAUUAUUGACUACGUUCCCUAUGCUACGCACUAAAAUGCUAGCCCAGGGGAAGCAAACUGUCUACGAUGAAUGAAUGGAUAAAGAGGACCCGGCGUUCUUAAUUCAGAUCCCAUCUCCUCCACUUAUUAUAUGAUUUCAGACAAGUUUACUCAAUUUCUCUGCUUGUUUUCUCUUCUACAAUACGAGUAUGAUAAAGCAAGAGACGUCGUCGUUAUGAAAAGGGAGGUAACCUAUAGACCGUAGCUUUAAACCAGUAAUAUCAGGGCAGAGACUGGAUAGAGUGCGAGAGACUCCUUCAUGAUUGGGAGAGAAGCUGGGGGCGAGUCUGUUUUAUACAGGGAACUCUAUGUUCAAAUGAAGCGAACCCCUAUGAACAUUCAAGGCACAGUAUACAGCUACAGGAAGAGUAAUAAAUGAAUGAAGAAAUUUCUUCCGUGAAAGUUGUGAGGAUGUUUAGGACGGGCGCCACUCUGUUACCUAAACCGACUCCCCAUCUUUUCAGUUGGUAACACCUCCUCCGAAGAGUUUGGAGCUGAGCAUUCUGGGCUUUGUAGUAAUUUCCUUGAUAGAGUUGGUCCAACAGAAUCAUCCAGUCGCGAGAGACUACAUUUCCCAGGAGCCUCUCCGACCGGUUAUUUGUUUGUCCAUCCUGACUUCCGGCGUCGCUGCGCUCUCUAGGGCCAAUUGGGAUGCUGGGGUUGCUGGCUCCCAGCACUCUGAUUGGUGCGUUCGACUAAAGAGCCUGGGUUCAAAUUUUCAACGGACUGAAUGAGUCCCGCGGCGGGAUUGGCGGGCGCUCCGUUUUGAGGCAAGGUCUUGAUAAGAAGUACUUGCUAGGCUUCAAGAUUUCAGAAGAGGUAAAAGAGUAUAUUGUAACUUCUGUGAUUAAACCACAUACAGGAAGUGACCUGUUGAGAAGAGUGACACGAAUACUGGGGAAAGCGUGCUCUUCUGUGCCAAGGAGGGACAAUGUCACAAGUUAAAAUCUCCUAUUCCUAUGAUGCUCCCACGGACUUCAUAAAUUUUACAUCUUUGGAUGAUGAGGAAGAUCACCAAAACAUAGAUUCUUGGUUUGAGGAAAAAGCCAAUUUGGAGAAUAAAUUUCCUGGGAAGAAUGGGACAGGAGGUAUUUUUCAGAGCAAAACUCCUCUGAGGAAGGCUAAUCCUCAGCAAGCUCUUGUCACACCUUUGAGACCAGUUGACAAUACUUAUUACAAAGAGGCAGAAAAAGAAAAUUUGGUGGACCAGUCCAUUCCAUCAAAUGCUUGUUCUUCCCUGGAAGUCAUGGAAAACACCUCAAGAAAUACUCCAGCCCAGCCUCAGAGAAGAUCUCUUAGACUCUCUGCUCAGAAGGCUGUGGAACAGAAAGAAAAACACCAUGUAAAAAUGAAAGCCAAGAGAUGUGCUACUCCUGUGACCAUCAGUGAAAUUCCACCCUCCAAAAAAAUGAAAGUGCAGAAGAUUCUGAAGAGUACUGAGGAGAAAGAACUGGAGAAAACAAUGAAAAUGCAGCAGGAGGUGGUGGAGAUGCGGAAAAAGAAUGAAGAAUUCAAGAAACUUGCUCUCGCAGGAGCAGGGAAACUUGUGAAGAAGUCAGUGAGCCAGGUAACCAAAUCGGUUGACUUCCACUUCUGCACAGAUGAGCGAAUCAAACAACAUCCUAAGAACCAAGAGGAGUAUAAGGAAGUGAAUUUUACAUCUGAACUGCGAAAGCAUCUUCCAUCUCCUGCCCGAGUGAUUAAGGGAUGUACCAUUAUUAAGCCUUUCAACCUGUCCCAAGGAAAGAAAAGGACAUUUGAUGAAACAUCUUCUACAUAUGUGCCUCUUGCACAGCAGGUCGAAGCCUUCCACAAACGAACCCCCAACAGAUAUCACUUGAGGAGCAAGAAGGAUGAUAUUACGCUGUUACCCUCCAAAUCUGCUGUGGCCAAGAUUUCUAGAGACCCACAGACUCCUGUGCUACAAACCAAACUGCGUGCAAGGCCUGUGACCUGCAAAAGUGCAGUGGAUCAGGAGGCCGAGGAGAUCGAAAAAUUGCAACAAUACAAAUUCAAAGCACGGGAACUUGAUCCCAGAAUUCUUGAAGGUGGACCCAUCUUGCCCAAGAAACCACCUGUGAAGCCACCUACUCAGCCUGUUGGCUUUGAUUUGGAAAUUGAGAAGAGAAUCCAGGAGCGGGAGUCAAGGAAGAAACCCGAGGAUGAACACUUUGAAUUUCAUUCCAGACCUUGCCCUACCAAGAUCCUGGAAGAUGUUGUGGGUGUUCCUGAAAAGAAAGUACUUCCAAUCACUGUCCCCAAGUCACCGGCCUUCACACUGAAGAACAGAAUUCGAAUGCCCUCCAAAAUCGAGGAAGAGGAACCAGUAGUGAUAAGAGCUCAUCCUGUGCCACACUGUGGGGUGCCUUAUAAACCCCAAAUCUCAGAGGCAAGAACUGUGGAAAUAUGCCCAUUCUCUUUUGAUUCUCGAGACAAAGAACGUCAUUUACAGAAGGAGAAGAAAAUAAAAGAACUGCAGAAAGGGGAGGUGCCCAAGUUUAAGGCACUUCCUUUGCCUCAUUUUGACACCAUUAACCUGCCAGAGAAGAAGGUGAAGAGUACGACCCAGGCUGAGCCUUUCUGCUUGGAGACUGACAAAAGAGGUGCUCUGAAGGCACAGACUUGGAAGCACCAGAUUAAUGAUACCAAAAUAAAAGAAAAAAAACCAGCUGGAGGAAGAACUGAAACAGCAGAAGGAAGCAGCUUGCUUCAAGGCUCGUCCAAAUACCAUCACUUCCCAGGAACCCUUUGUUCCCAAGAAGGAGAAAAGAUCUGUUGCUGUUCAGGAACCUUUUCAGCUGGCCACUGAGAAGAGAGCCAAGGAACGGCAAGAGCUGGAGAAGAGAAUGGCUGAGGUAGAAGCUCAGAAGGCCCAGCAGCUGGAGGAGGCCAGGCAGCAGGAGGAAGAGCAGCAGAAGGAGGAGCUGUCCAGGCUACGGAAAGAACUGGUGCACAAGGCAAACCCAAUCCGCAAAUACCAGAGUGUGGAGGUCAAGUCAAGCGACCAGCCUCUGACGGUGCCUGUAUCCCCCAAGUUCUCCACUCGCUUCCACUGCUAGACUAAGCUGUGCACUGCAGACACUACUUGGGAAGAGGAGUUACUCUUUCCAUCAAACCGGGAGCCUUCUUGCGUUGUCACCAGGGCCUAGAGAGAAACUGUUCCUCCAGACUUGCUCAUACCCAUGCCUGACAGCAUACCAGACAAGGGUGGACUCCAGUUUUGUUGAGAAUUGUUUUCCUACAUUAUUGAAGCUAAUAAUGAGACUCAAACUCAUGUAUGUAUCAGUCAGAUUCCAUGUAGAUAUUUCUUUGUACCAUCAAUUGACCUUUAAUAUGGGUCUUAACUCUAACUAAAAUUUAAGGUCUUUAUGUCAGCACAGUGUAAUUUGUAUUGCUCCUACCUCCCUCUCCCUUUUUUCUAUUUUAAUCAGAAAAUAAAGAUAGUUAAAUACUGAGGUAGGAUUUAAGUCAUGGCUUAAA